ACCCAGACUCCUACGGGAGGCAGCAGUGGGGAAUAUUGCACAAUGGGGGAAACCCUGAUGCAGCAACGCCGCGUGAGUGAGGAAGUAUUUCGGUAUGUAAAGCUCUAUCAGCAGGGAAUAGAAAAGAAGGUACCUGAAAAAGAAGCCCCGGCUAACUACGUGCCAGCAGCCGCGGUAAUACGUAGGGGGCAAGCGUUAUCCGGAUCUACUGGGUGUAAAGGGAGCGUAGACGGUUGUGCAAGUCUGAAGUGAAAGCCCGCGGCUCAACUGCGGAACGGCUUUGGAAACUGGCGCGCUGGAGUGCCGGAGGGGUAGGCGGAAUUCCUAGUGUAGCGGUGAAAUGCGUAGAUAUUAGGAGGAACACCAGUGGCGAAGGCGGCCUACUGGACGGUGACUGACGCUGAGGCUCGAAAGCGUGGGGAGCAAACAGGAUUAGAUACCCGAGUAAC
RNAcentral lists this ribosomal RNA (449 nucleotides) under uncultured bacterium. RNAcentral's name for it is "bacterial SSU rRNA". It matches the Rfam family "Bacterial small subunit ribosomal RNA", at positions 329 to 794 of the family's 1533-position model. The record is from RNAcentral.